Molecule: ribosomal RNA, 507 nt
Filed under: Fusarium solani
Lineage: Eukaryota; Fungi; Ascomycota; Sordariomycetes; Hypocreales; Nectriaceae
Description: eukaryotic LSU rRNA
Rfam family: 5.8S ribosomal RNA (bases 146-299)
Source: RNAcentral
GUUCCUUAUUUUUAUCUUCCACUUCGCUGUGGCACUACCAAUGUUGCCUCAUCGGAUCUUCCCGCUCCCGGUAAAUGGGACGGACCGCCGAGGACCCCUAAAUCUGUUUCUAUAUGUUACUUCUGAUUAAACCAUAAUAAUUCAAAAUUUUCAACAACGGAUCUCUUGGUUUUGGCAUCGAUGAAGAACGCAGCAAAAUGCGAUAAGUAAUGUGAAUUGCAGAAUUCAGUGAAUCAUCGAAUCUUUGAACGCACAUUGCGCCCGCCAGUAUUCUGGCGGGCAUGCCUGUUCAAGCGUCAUUUCAACCCUCAAGCCCAGUUUGGUGUUGGGACUCGCGAGUCAAAUCGCGUUCCCCAAAUUGAUUGGCGGUCACGUCGAGCUUCCAUAGCGUAGUAUUAAAACCCUCGUUACUGGUAAUCGUCGCGGCCACGCCGUUAAACCCCAACUUCUGAAUGUUGACCUCGGAUCAGGUAGGAAUACCCGCUGAACUUAAGCAUAUCAAUAAGC